UGGGGAAUAUUGCACAAUGGGCGCAAGCCUGAUGCAGCCAUGCCGCGUGUAUGAAGAAGGCCUUCGGGUUGUAAAGUACUUUCAGCGGGGAGGAAGGCGAUAAGGUUAAUAACCUUGUCGAUUGACGUUACCCGCAGAAGAAGCACCGGCUAACUCCGUGCCAGCAGCCGCGGUAAUACGGAGGGUGCAAGCGUUAAUCGGAAUUACUGGGCGUAAAGCGCACGCAGGCGGUCUGUCAAUUCGGAUGUGAAAUCCCCGUGCUCAACCUGGGAACUGCAUUCGAAACUGGCAGGCUAGAGUCUGGUAGAGGGGGGUAGAAUUCCAGGUGUAGCGGUGAAAUGCGUAGAGAGCUGGAGGAAUACCGUUGGCGAAGGCGGCCCCCUGGACAAAGACUGACGCUCAGGUGCGAAAGCGUGGGGAGCAAACA
Molecule: ribosomal RNA, 427 nt
Filed under: uncultured bacterium
Lineage: Bacteria
Description: partial 16S ribosomal RNA
Rfam family: Bacterial small subunit ribosomal RNA
Source: RNAcentral